RNAcentral lists this ribosomal RNA (1112 nucleotides) under Escherichia coli. RNAcentral's name for it is "partial 23S ribosomal RNA". It matches the Rfam family "Bacterial large subunit ribosomal RNA", at positions 419 to 1536 of the family's 2925-position model. The record is from RNAcentral. Lineage: Bacteria; Pseudomonadati; Pseudomonadota; Gammaproteobacteria; Enterobacterales; Enterobacteriaceae.
GGGACACGUGGUAUCCUGUCUGAAUAUGGGGGGACCAUCCUCCAAGGCUAAAUACUCCUGACUGACCGAUAGUGAACCAGUACCGUGAGGGAAAGGCGAAAAGAACCCCGGCGAGGGGAGUGAAAAAGAACCUGAAACCGUGUACGUACAAGCAGUGGGAGCCUCUUAAUGGGGUGACUGCGUACCUUUUGUAUAAUGGGUCAGCGACUUAUAUUCUGUAGCAAGGUUAACCGAAUAGGGGAGCCGAAGGGAAACCGAGUCUUAACUGGGCGUUAAGUUGCAGGGUAUAGACCCGAAACCCGGUGAUCUAGCCAUGGGCAGGUUGAAGGUUGGGUAACACUAACUGGAGGACCGAACCGACUAAUGUUGAAAAAUUAGCGGAUGACUUGUGGCUGGGGGUGAAAGGCCAAUCAAACCGGGAGAUAGCUGGUUCUCCCCGAAAGCUAUUUAGGUAGCGCCUCGUGAAUUCAUCUCCGGGGGUAGAGCACUGUUUCGGCAAGGGGGUCAUCCCGACUUACCAACCCGAUGCAAACUGCGAAUACCGGAGAAUGUUAUCACGGGAGACACACGGCGGGUGCUAACGUCCGUCGUGAAGAGGGAAACAACCCAGACCGCCAGCUAAGGUCCCAAAGUCAUGGUUAAGUGGGAAACGAUGUGGGAAGGCCCAGACAGCCAGGAUGUUGGCUUAGAAGCAGCCAUCAUUUAAAGAAAGCGUAAUAGCUCACUGGUCGAGUCGGCCUGCGCGGAAGAUGUAACGGGGCUAAACCAUGCACCGAAGCUGCGGCAGCGACACUAUGUGUUGUUGGGUAGGGGAGCGUUCUGUAAGCCUGUGAAGGUGUACUGUGAGGUAUGCUGGAGGUAUCAGAAGUGCGAAUGCUGACAUAAGUAACGAUAAAGCGGGUGAAAAGCCCGCUCGCCGGAAGACCAAGGGUUCCUGUCCAACGUUAAUCGGGGCAGGGUGAGUCGACCCCUAAGGCGAGGCCGAAAGGCGUAGUCGAUGGGAAACAGGUUAAUAUUCCUGUACUUGGUGUUACUGCGAAGGGGGGACGGAGAAGGCUAUGUUGGCCGGGCGACGGUUGUCCCGGUUUAAGCGUGUAGGCUGGUUUUCCAGG